GUUUGGCGGGUGCGAGUAUGAGAU
RNAcentral lists this non-coding RNA (24 nucleotides) under Cricetulus griseus (Chinese hamster). Lineage: Eukaryota; Metazoa; Chordata; Mammalia; Rodentia; Cricetidae. The record is from RNAcentral.